RNAcentral lists this ribosomal RNA (515 nucleotides) under Sordaria sp. UASWS1127. RNAcentral's name for it is "eukaryotic LSU rRNA". The stretch from base 160 to 313 matches the Rfam family "5.8S ribosomal RNA". Lineage: Eukaryota; Fungi; Ascomycota; Sordariomycetes; Sordariales; Sordariaceae. The record is from RNAcentral.
GAAUCUUACCCGUACGGUUGCCUCGGCGCUGGCGGUCCGGAAGGCCCUCGGGCCCCCCGGAUCCUCGGGUCUCCCGCUCGCGGGAGGCUGCCCGCCGGAGUGCCGAAACCAAACUCUUGAUAUUUUAUGUCUCUCUGAGUAAACUUUUAAAUAAGUCAAAACUUUCAACAACGGAUCUCUUGGUUCUGGCAUCGAUGAAGAACGCAGCGAAAUGCGAUAAGUAAUGUGAAUUGCAGAAUUCAGUGAAUCAUCGAAUCUUUGAACGCACAUUGCGCUCGCCAGUAUUCUGGCGAGCAUGCCUGUUCGAGCGUCAUUUCAACCAUCAAGCUCUGCUUGCGUUGGGGAUCCGCGUCUGACGCGGUCCCUCAAAAACAGUGGCGGGCUCGCUAGUCACACCGAGCGUAGUAACUCUACAUCGCUAUGGUCGUGCGGCGGGUUCUUGCCGUAAAACCCCCAAUUUCUAAGGUUGACCUCGGAUCAGGUAGGAAUACCCGCUGAACUUAAGCAUAUCAAUA